Molecule: unclassified non-coding RNA, 653 nt
Filed under: uncultured Prochlorococcus sp.
Lineage: Bacteria; Bacillati; Cyanobacteriota; Cyanophyceae; Synechococcales; Prochlorococcaceae
Description: partial 16S-23S ribosomal RNA intergenic spacer; may also contain 16S ribosomal RNA and 23S ribosomal RNA
Rfam family: tRNA (bases 303-375)
Source: RNAcentral
UUGUGGAGGAGGACGCCGAAGGUGGGGCUAAUGACUGGGGUGAAGUCGUAACAAGGUAGCCGUACCGGAAGGUGCGGCUGGAUCACCUCCUAACAGGGAGACAACAAAAUGUAAAUAUUAAUUUUGUCACCUUAGGUCGAUCGGUAUCUCAGAUUCUUACAUUAUUAAGAAUUUCAGUUUCUAAGUUUUUCUAGGUCACACCCAUUACUUUUCCCUGGGCCAUUAGCUCAGGUGGUUAGAGCGCACCCCUGAUAAGGGUGAGGUCCCUGGUUCAAGUCCAGGAUGGCCCAUAUCUCUAUGUUGGGGGUAUAGCUCAGUUGGUAGAGCGCCUGCUUUGCAAGCAGGAUGUCAGCGGUUCGAGUCCGCUUACCUCCACUGAAUACCACCUUUUACAUAUUGUUAAUUGGGAAAUUGUUUUGAGUCGUGUACUAAUUGCUCUGAGCGAAUCUAGCUUCCUAUUUUAUCCAAUAAAUAAGAUGCUGGACUCAUUGAAUUUUUAUUCAUUGUUUUCAGAGAACCUUGACAACUGCAUAGAUUAUUUUUGAAGACAAUAAGCAUCUUUAUGAUGCAGAUUUAUUAUUUGUGCGAAUGCAUUAAAUAACAAUUCUAUUAAGCUGAUGCUUCAAUUAUUGAAGUUAUUGGUCAAGCUACAA